CUGGCGGCAUGCUUUACACAUGCAAGUCGAACGGCAGCAGCGGGCUUCGGCCUGGUGGCGAGUGGCGAACGGGUGAGUAAUAUAUCGGAACGUGCCCAAGAGUGGGGGAUAACGUAGCGAAAGUUACGCUAAUACCGCAUACGAUCUAUGGAUGAAAGUGGGGGAUCGCAAGGCCUUGUGCUCCUGGAGCGGCCGAUAUCUGAUUAGCUAGUUGGUGAGGUAAAGGCUCACCAAGGCGACGAUCAGUAGCUGGUCUGAGAGGACGACCAGCCACACUGGAACUGAGACACGGUCCAGACUCCUACGGGAGGCAGCAGUGGGGAAUUUUGGACAAUGGGGGCAACCCUGAUCCAGCAAUGCCGCGUGAGUGAAGAAGGCCUUCGGGUUGUAAAGCUCUUUUGUCAGGGAAGAAAAGGGUACGGCUAAUAUCCGUGCCUCAUGACGGUACCUGAAGAAUAAGCACCGGCUAACUACGUGCCAGCAGCCGCGGUAAUACGUAGGGUGCAAGCGUUAAUCGGAAUUACUGGGCGUAAAGCGUGCGCAGGCGGUUUUGUAAGUCUGUUGUGAAAUCCCCGGGCUUAACCUGGGAAUGGCAAUGGAGACUGCAAGGCUAGAGUUUGGCAGAGGGGGGUAGAAUUCCACGUGUAGCAGUGAAAUGCGUAGAGAUGUGGAGGAACACCGAUGGCGAAGGCAGCCCCCUGGGUCAAGACUGACGCUCAUGCACGAAAGCGUGGGGAGCAAACAGGAUUAGAUACCCUGGUAGUCCACGCCCUAAACGAUGUCUACUAGUUGUUGGGUCUUAAUUGACUUAGUAACGCAGCUAACGCGUGAAGUAGACCGCCUGGGGAGUACGGUCGCAAGAUUAAAACUCAAAGGAAUUGACGGGGACCCGCACAAGCGGUGGAUGAUGUGGAUUAAUUCGAUGCAACGCGAAAAACCU
This 940-nucleotide ribosomal RNA is filed under the name Pseudoduganella lutea. RNAcentral describes it as "bacterial SSU rRNA". It matches the Rfam family "Bacterial small subunit ribosomal RNA", at positions 36 to 971 of the family's 1533-position model. The record is from RNAcentral. Lineage: Bacteria; Pseudomonadati; Pseudomonadota; Betaproteobacteria; Burkholderiales; Oxalobacteraceae.